AACGAACGCUGGCGGCAUGCCUAACACAUGCAAGUCGAACGAGACCUUCGGGUCUAGUGGCGCACGGGUGCGUAACGCGUGGGAACCUGCCCUUAGGUUCGGAAUAACUCCCCGAAAGGGGUGCUAAUACCGGAUAAUGUCUUCGGACCAAAGAUUUAUCGCCUUUGGAUGGGCCCGCGUUGGAUUAGCUAGUUGGUAGGGUAAAAGCCUACCAAGGCGACGAUCCAUAGCUGGUCUGAGAGGAUGAUCAGCCACACUGGGACUGAGACACGGCCCAGAAGCUGAGGGGGGGCAGAAGGAGGGAAACUGACGAAAGGGGGGAAAGGCGGAAGGAGGAACGCGGCGGGGGUGAGGAAGGUCUUCGGGUAGUAAAACUCUGUUGUUAGGGAGGAAAAUAGGGGAAAGUAACAGUGCACAUCUUGAAGGGACCGAAUCAGAAAGCCAGGGAUAAAGAAGGG
RNAcentral lists this ribosomal RNA (458 nucleotides) under uncultured bacterium. RNAcentral's name for it is "partial 16S ribosomal RNA". It matches the Rfam family "Bacterial small subunit ribosomal RNA", at positions 30 to 507 of the family's 1533-position model. The record is from RNAcentral.